CCUACGGGAGGCAGCAGUGGGGAAUUUUCCGCAAUGGGCGAAAGCCUGACGGAGCAACGCCGCGUGAGGGACGAAGGCCUCUGGGCUGUAAACCUCUUUUCUCAAGGAAGAAGAUAUGACGGUACUUGAGGAAUAAGCCACGGCUAAUUCCGUGCCAGCAGCCGCGGUAAUACGGGAGUGGCAAGCGUUAUCCGGAAUUAUUGGGCGUAAAGCGUCCGCAGGCGGCUUUUCAAGUCUGCUGUUAAAGCGUGGAGCUUAACUCCAUCAUGGCAGUGGAAACUGAAAGGCUUGAGUAUGGUAGGGGCAGAGGGAAUUCCCGGUGUAGCGGUGAAAUGCGUAGAUAUCGGGAAGAACACCAGUGGCGAAGGCGCUCUGCUGGGCCAUUACUGACGCUCAUGGACGAAAGCCAGGGGAGCGAAAGGGAUUAGAUACCCUUGUAG
This 440-nucleotide ribosomal RNA is filed under the name uncultured bacterium. Its description in RNAcentral is "bacterial SSU rRNA". It matches the Rfam family "Bacterial small subunit ribosomal RNA", at positions 338 to 793 of the family's 1533-position model. The record is from RNAcentral.